This is a long non-coding RNA of Sinocyclocheilus grahami, 150 nucleotides long. RefSeq lists it as uncharacterized. Lineage: Eukaryota; Metazoa; Chordata; Actinopteri; Cypriniformes; Cyprinidae. The transcript has 3 exons. The record is from RefSeq and is a predicted model, not a curated record.
UGAGCUCCAGCCAGCCAGAGGACAGAUCAUUAAGGUAGAUGCUCCCUGGAUAAAACAUUGGAUCUCCACACAUAAUUUCUCGUCUAGAGGCAAUUCAGCGUACAUCAUACCCGGGAGUCGUUUAGUCACUGUGGGUGGAGUUUUCCAAGU